UUUAAUGAGAGUUUGAUCCUGGCUCAGGACGAACGCUGGCGGCGUGCCUAAUACAUGCAAGUAGAACGCUGAGUUUGGUGUUUACACUAGACUGAUGAGUUGCGAACGGGUGAGUAACGCGUAGGUAACCUGCCUCAUAGCGGGGGAUAACUAUUGGAAACGAUAGCUAAUACCGCAUAAGAGUAAUUAACACAUGUUAGUUAUUUAAAAGGAGCAAUUGCUUCACUGUGAGAUGGACCUGCGUUGUAUUAGCU
Molecule: ribosomal RNA, 254 nt
Filed under: Streptococcus agalactiae
Lineage: Bacteria; Bacillati; Bacillota; Bacilli; Lactobacillales; Streptococcaceae
Description: partial 16S ribosomal RNA
Rfam family: Bacterial small subunit ribosomal RNA
Source: RNAcentral